RNAcentral lists this transfer RNA (61 nucleotides) under Anisakis simplex (herring worm). Its description in RNAcentral is "tRNA-Tyr". Lineage: Eukaryota; Metazoa; Nematoda; Chromadorea; Rhabditida; Anisakidae. The record is from RNAcentral.
GAGGAGCGUCAUUUAUUUUAUUGGGUAUGAGAUUGGGUAUGAGCGUCAUUUAUUCAUUUAU